AAUAUUGGACAAUGGGCGCAAGCCUGAUCCAGCAACGCCGCGUGGAGGACGAAGGUCUUCGGAUUGUAAACUCCUGUCAGGCGGGACGAAGGGUUGGGGGCAAAUAGUCCCUGAUCUUGACGGUACUGCCAGAGGAAGCCCCGGCUAACUCCGUGCCAGCAGCCGCGGUAAUACGGAGGGGGCGAGCGUUAUUCGGAAUUAUUGGGCGUAAAGGGCGCGUAGGCGGCCCGGUAAGUCAAAGGUGAAAUCCCUCGGCUCAACUGAGGAACUGCCUUUGAAACUGUCGGGCUUGAGGCCGGGAGGGGGUGGCGGAAUUCCCAGUGUAGCGGUGAAAUGCGUAGAUAUUGGGAGGAACACCAGUGGCGAAGGCGGCCACCUGGACCGGUUCUGACGCUGAUGCGCGAAAGCGUGGGUAGCAAAC
RNAcentral lists this ribosomal RNA (421 nucleotides) under uncultured bacterium. RNAcentral's name for it is "bacterial SSU rRNA". It matches the Rfam family "Bacterial small subunit ribosomal RNA", at positions 360 to 773 of the family's 1533-position model. The record is from RNAcentral.